RNAcentral lists this unclassified non-coding RNA (199 nucleotides) under fungal sp. Its description in RNAcentral is "partial internal transcribed spacer region". The stretch from base 1 to 46 matches the Rfam family "Eukaryotic small subunit ribosomal RNA", at positions 1786 to 1831 of the family's 1831-position model. Lineage: Eukaryota; Fungi. The record is from RNAcentral.
AAGUCGUAACAAGGUUUCCGUAGGUGAACCUGCGGAAGGAUCAUUCAAGAGUACAUAACAAGUACAAGACACUGUGAAGCAAAGUAUUUAGUUUUUUGUUGGGGGGUUUAUACUCCCAAGAGAAGAAGCAAAACAUUUUUUUUUACCAAUCAAACUAUAAAAAGAAAAAAAACUUUUAGCAACGGAUCUCUAGGCUCUC